RNAcentral lists this ribosomal RNA (602 nucleotides) under uncultured fungus. RNAcentral describes it as "eukaryotic LSU rRNA". The stretch from base 243 to 396 matches the Rfam family "5.8S ribosomal RNA". Lineage: Eukaryota; Fungi. The record is from RNAcentral.
CUUGGUCAUUUAGAGGNAGUAAAAGUCGUAACAAGGUUUCCGUAGGUGAACCUGCGGAAGGAUCAUUACAAGUGAGGCUACCGAACGCUGGAAACAGCGGUUAGGAGCUUACACCCACCCGUGUUUACAUACUAUUGUUGCUUUGGCGGGCCGUGACCUCCACUGCGGGCUCUGCUCGUGUGUGCCCGCCAGAGGACCAAACUCUGAAUGUUAGUGAUGUCUGAGUACUAUCUAAUAGUUAAAACUUUCAACAACGGAUCUCUUGGUUCUGGCAUCGAUGAAGAACGCAGCGAAAUGCGAUAAGUAAUGUGAAUUGCAGAAUUCAGUGAAUCAUCGAAUCUUUGAACGCACAUUGCGCCCUGUGGUAUUCCGCAGGGCAUGCCUGUUCGAGCGUCAUUUAACCACUCACGCCUGGCGUGGUAUUGGGGUACGCGGUCUCGCGGCCCUCAAAAUCAGUGGCGGUGCCGGUGGGCUCUAAGCGUAGUACAUACUCCCGCUAUAGAGUUCCCCCGGUGGCUCGCCAGAACCCCCAAUUUUUUACAGGUUGACCUCGGAUCAGGUAGGGAUACCCGCUGAACUUAAGCAUAUCAAUAAGCGGAGGA